RNAcentral lists this transfer RNA (59 nucleotides) under Loxodonta africana (African savanna elephant). It matches the Rfam family "tRNA", at positions 8 to 63 of the family's 71-position model. From Rfam's summary of the family: Transfer RNA (tRNA) molecules are approximately 80 nucleotides in length. Their secondary structure includes four short double-helical elements and three loops (D, anti-codon, and T loops). Lineage: Eukaryota; Metazoa; Chordata; Mammalia; Proboscidea; Elephantidae. The record is from Rfam by way of RNAcentral.
UGGUACAAAUGGUUAAGACGCUUGGCUGCAAAUCAAAAGGUUGGGGGUUCGAGUCCCCC